GAAAUUAAAUUUUACAAUUCAUAUGAACCUGAAGAUGUUAAUCGAAACCGCCUAACGUGUUUCGGUUUUGUUAUACGGCUGCCUGUCACUGCCAGUGUCAACAACACAACUGUAAUCAAAUGCAUCGACCUGAAUAUUCUGUUCCAAAAUCAGAUUAUAAAAUCGACGAUAUCCGGGCUCUUUAACAUCCAAAAUUUUCUGCACUCAAUACACAAGGCUGUUAAAAGUUGACAUUUAAGAUCAUUUUUGUAAAAUGCGCCAGUUGAAAGGAAAAGUAAAAGAAAGCAAGAAAGAAAAAAGAGAAAGGAAGAAAGAUUUUGUUGAAAACAAGAAAAGAUUUUUUACUAUAGCUCUUCCUGUUAUCAUUGUUUUGAUAGCUAUACUUACCUUUUUCAUAUAUAUCAGUACAAGAGAUAAAAGGAGGAUAUGAAAUAAUUUUUUUGAUUGUAAAUUUACUUAUGCUAUACAAAUAUAUGGAGCAACAGUUGA
Long non-coding RNA from Argiope bruennichi, 489 nucleotides. RefSeq lists it as uncharacterized. The record is from RefSeq and is a predicted model, not a curated record. The transcript is spliced from 2 exons. Lineage: Eukaryota; Metazoa; Arthropoda; Arachnida; Araneae; Araneidae.